RNAcentral lists this ribosomal RNA (296 nucleotides) under uncultured Synechococcus sp. Its description in RNAcentral is "partial 16S ribosomal RNA". It matches the Rfam family "Bacterial small subunit ribosomal RNA", at positions 1239 to 1533 of the family's 1533-position model. Lineage: Bacteria; Bacillati; Cyanobacteriota; Cyanophyceae; Synechococcales; Synechococcaceae. The record is from RNAcentral.
ACAAAGGGCAGCAAGUUCGCGAGGACAAGCAAAUCCCAUAAACUGUGGCUCAGUUCAGAUCGUAGGCUGCAACUCGCCUACGUGAAGGAGGAAUCGCUAGUAAUCGCAGGUCAGCAUACUGCGGUGAAUACGUUCCCGGGCCUUGUACACACCGCCCGUCACACCAUGGAAGUUGGCCACGCCCGAAGCCGUUACUCCAACCCUCGGGAGGAGGACGUCGAAGGUGGGGCUGAUGACUGGGGUGAAGUCGUAACAAGGUAUCCGUACCGGAAGGUGCGGAUGGAUCACCUCCUAAC